GAAAAUAAAAUUCAAGAUUGCCAUCCUUGCCACUCCUCUGCUUAAGAAAGAGAUUACUAAAUAGUCUUAGCCCUUCAUUGGAGGAACGGAAACGUGGGGAAGCAGGAUAGGGUGCUGUUUUUUAACGACGAGGGACAAGAGGUGGGAGGGAGGCAGAGUGAUGGCCGCUGGCGAUGCUAGCAGGGACACUGCUCAGAGAUGCUUGGCUGCCACCCUCGGUGGGCUGGGUCUUCAGGAAUCACCUCUGUUACCUGCGUGGUCUUUGAUGGAAAUCGCUGGGGUUUCUUGGUCAAGAUCUGAGCCAGCCUUUCUGCAGCCAGGCUGACCCUACAAAUCCCCUUCUGUGGCAGCAAGGCCGAGUAGCCUUCUGGUCCUCUUGUGGUGGCAAGGUGGUAUUUAUGGGGAGCAUAUCCCCUUCAUUUUGUCUCUGCAAACACCCACGUGGGCAAGGCCAGAACACAGCCACUCACCAUCCCCAGCUAUGAGCAGCCACCUAGAAGGACAGCACCAGCUCCGGGGUCUGGCUCUGACCCAUUCGCGUGCAGGCCACAGUGGUCGGCCAGGCAGGGACUGAGGGAGGGGCCACUUCUCUGCCUCAGAGAGGUGCCCAGGCAGCACUGUGGUGAAGCCACCUGGAGAAGGGCAAUGGCCUCAUCUUCCUUGAAGACCCUUAGUCCUGGGCAGUGGCUGGACUGAUGAGGGAACCGCCGCUGCACACCCACGGAGGGCCCUGCCCAUCUACCUGGGGCCUGCAGCGUCAGAGAUAGCUGUACUAGCACCACCUGACUGAGGGUACUGGGGUUGGGAGGGGGCCUAGUGGGCUGUGAGGGCCUCCAGGUUGCGCCUGAGACCUCAGACCCGGGUCCCCCACCUUGUAAGUGGCAGGGUGGUGAUGUUGUGGCUCAUCUGCCCUGGAAUCGAGAGAUAGGCACAGCGCACAACGGAACCUCACUGGGGCCUGUCCCGCCUCCCAGGAGGACAAGCUGGCCCUGGGGUAGGGGUCAGGGCAGGCAGCUGACCUUGGAUGGUCCAGCAGUUUCCAGAGGCAGAAUAGAAUUUGGGUGCAGCUUGCUGGGCGAGGGUAGGGGCAAACGGGCCCGGGAGAGGGAAGAGAAAGUCCCACUUCCUACUUCGCCUCUCUCUCCGCAGCGCUCUCUACAGAGGCACAACAAACAGGCCGGGAGGAGGGACGGGAGGCCAGGACAGGUCCACGUUCCGUGAAACCUUUGCAGGGCACCAGCUGAGAGACAGAAUUUUUGGAAGAACUUAGGGAAGAAACUAAGAAAAGACAACAGCACACAGCAACAAGGUGAGACUGGAAGUUGAACCAGGGCUGCUGGGCUCGGGUGCCAGGUACCCCUUCGCCCCACCAGCCAGCAUUGCCAGGGAAGGGUUUUUGGGUUCACGGA
This 1409-nucleotide long non-coding RNA is filed under the name Pan troglodytes (chimpanzee). RNAcentral describes it as "long non-coding RNA NONPTRT006358". Lineage: Eukaryota; Metazoa; Chordata; Mammalia; Primates; Hominidae. The record is from RNAcentral.